GAUCCUGGCUCAGAUUGAACGCUGGCGGCAGGCUUAACACAUGCAAGUCGAACGGUAACAUAAAGAAGCUUGCUUCUUUGAUGACGAGUGGCGGACGGGUGAGUAAUGCUUGGGAAUCUGGCUUAUGGAGGGGGAUAACUACGGGAAACUGUAGCUAAUACCGCGUAAUAUCGAGAGAUUAAAGUGUGGGACCUUCGGGCCGACAUGCCAUAAGAUGAGCCCAAGUGGGAUUAGGUAGUUGGUG
This 244-nucleotide ribosomal RNA is filed under the name uncultured bacterium. Its description in RNAcentral is "partial 16S ribosomal RNA". It matches the Rfam family "Bacterial small subunit ribosomal RNA", at positions 15 to 254 of the family's 1533-position model. The record is from RNAcentral.